RNAcentral lists this ribosomal RNA (388 nucleotides) under uncultured bacterium. RNAcentral describes it as "bacterial SSU rRNA". It matches the Rfam family "Bacterial small subunit ribosomal RNA", at positions 28 to 417 of the family's 1533-position model. The record is from RNAcentral.
GACGAACGCUGGCGGCGUGCUUAACACAUGCAAGUCGAGCGGUAAGGCCCUUUCGGGGGUACACGAGCGGCGAACGGGUGAGUAACACGUGGGUGACCUGCCCUCAGCUCUGGGAUAAGCCUGGGAAACUGGGUCUAAUACUGGAUAUGACUCCACGGUGCAUGUCGUGGGGUGGAAAGCCUUGUGCGGCUGAGGAUGGGCCCGCGGCCUAUCAGCUUGUUGGUGGGGUGANGGCCUACCAAGGCGACGACGGGUAGUCGGCCUGAGAGGGCGACCGGCCACACUGGGACUGAGACACGGCCCAGACUCCUACGGGAGGCAGCAGUGGGGAAUCUUGCGCAAUGGGCGAAAGCCUGACGCAGCGACGCCGCGUGAGGGAUGACGGCCU